RNAcentral lists this ribosomal RNA (786 nucleotides) under uncultured bacterium. Its description in RNAcentral is "bacterial SSU rRNA". It matches the Rfam family "Bacterial small subunit ribosomal RNA", at positions 1 to 791 of the family's 1533-position model. The record is from RNAcentral.
UUAGAGUUUGAUCCUGGCUCAGGACGAACGCUGGCGGCAUGCCUAAUACAUGCAAGUCGAACGCUGAAGCACUCUGCUUGCAGAGUGCGGAUGAGUGGCGAACGGGUGAGUAACACGUGGGAAAUCUGCCUAGGAGUGGGGGAUAACAUUCGGAAACGGAUGCUAAUACCGCAUAUCUUUUUGAACCGCAUGGUUCUUAAACGAAAGACGGCUUCGGCUGUCGCUCUUAGAUGAUCCCGCGGCGUAUUAGUUAGUUGGUGGGGUAAAGGCCUACCAAGACCAUGAUACGUAGCCGACCUGAGAGGGUGAUCGGCCACACUGGGACUGAGACACGGCCCACACUCCUACGGGAGGCAGCAGUGGGGAAUAUUGCACAAUGGGCGAAAGCCUGAUGCAGCAACGCCGCGUGAGCGAUGAAGGCCUUCGGGUCGUAAAGCUCUGUCCUCAAGGAAGAUAAUGACGGUACUUGAGGAGGAAGCCCCGGCUAACUACGUGCCAGCAGCCGCGGUAAUACGUAGGGGGCUAGCGUUAUCCGGAUUUACUGGGCGUAAAGGGUGCGUAGGCGGUCUUUUAAGUCAGAAGUGAAAGGCUACGGCUUAACCGUAGUAAGCUUUUGAAACUGGAGGACUUGAGUGCAGGAGAGGAGAGUGGAAUUCCUAGUGUAGCGGUGAAAUGCGUAAAUAUAUGGAAGAAACCCCGGUGGCGAAAGCGGCCUCUUUGGUCUGUAAUUGAACUCUGAAGCUUCGAAGGCGUGGGGGAACAAAACAGGAAUUAGAAUCCCCUGGU